AGCGAACGCUGGCGGCAGGCUUAACACAUGCAAGUCGAACGAGCCCUUCGGGGUUAGUGGCGGACGGGUGAGUAACACGUGGGAACGUGCCCUUAGGUUCGGAACAACACAGGGAAACUUGUGCUAAUACCGGAUAAGCCCUUACGGGGAAAGAUUUAUCGCCUUUGGAGCGGCCCGCGUCUGAUUAGCUUGUUGGUGAGGUAAAGGCUCACCAAGGCUACGAUCAGUAGCUGGUCUGAGAGGAUGGCCAGCCACAUUGGGACUGAGACACGGCCCAAACUCCUACGGGAGGCAGCAGUGGGGAAUCUUGCGCAAUGGGGGAAACCCUGACGCAGCCAUGCCGCGUGGAUGAUGAAGGUCUUAGGAUUGUAAAAUCCUUUCAGCGGGACGAUAAUGACGGUACCCGCAGAAGAAGCCCCGGCUAACUUCGUGCCAGCCG
RNAcentral lists this ribosomal RNA (439 nucleotides) under uncultured bacterium. RNAcentral's name for it is "bacterial SSU rRNA". It matches the Rfam family "Bacterial small subunit ribosomal RNA", at positions 29 to 514 of the family's 1533-position model. The record is from RNAcentral.